Molecule: ribosomal RNA, 320 nt
Filed under: uncultured Ruminococcus sp.
Lineage: Bacteria; Bacillati; Bacillota; Clostridia; Eubacteriales; Oscillospiraceae
Description: partial 16S ribosomal RNA
Source: RNAcentral
GGAGUUUGGGCCGUGUCUCAGUCCCAAUGUGGCCGAUCACCCUCUCAGGUCGGCUAUGGAUCGUAGGCUUGGUGGGCCGUUACUCCGCCAACUACCUAAUCCAACGCGGGCCCAUCGUAUGCCGAUAAAUCUUUUCACACUGCACCAUGCGGUGCUGUGCGCUUAUGCGGUAUUAGCAGCCGUUUCCAACUGUUGUCCCCCUGCAUACGGCAGGUUGCCCACGCGUUACUCACCCGUGCGCCGGUCGCCAUCAAAGUUUGCAAGCAAACUUCAUGCUGCCCCUCGACUUGCAUGUGUUAAGCCUGUAGCUAGCGUUCAUC